CCUACGGGUGGCAGCAGUGAGGAAUAUUGGUCAAUGGGCGCGAGCCUGAACCAGCGAAGUCGCGUGAGGGAAGACGGUCCUCUGGAUUGUAAACCUCUUUUGUCGGGGAGCAAAAGACGCCACGCGUGGCGUUCCGAGCGUACCCGAAGAAAAAGCAUCGGCUAACUCCGGGCCAGCAGCAGCGGUAAUACGGAGGAUGCGAGCGUUGUCCGGAUUUAUUGGGUUAAACGGGUGCGCAGGCGGAAGAUCAAGUCAGCGGUAAAAUUGAGAGGCUCAACCUCUUCGAGCGGUUGAAACUGGUAUUCUUGAGUGAGAGAGAAGUAUGCGGAAUGCGUGGUGUAGCGGUGAAAUGCAUAGAUAUCACGAAGAACUCCGAUUGCGAAGGCAGCAUACCGGCGCUCAACUGACGCUCAUGCACGAAAGUGUGGGUAUCGAACAGGAUUAGAUACCCGGGUAGUC
RNAcentral lists this ribosomal RNA (459 nucleotides) under uncultured bacterium. Its description in RNAcentral is "partial 16S ribosomal RNA". It matches the Rfam family "Bacterial small subunit ribosomal RNA", at positions 338 to 795 of the family's 1533-position model. The record is from RNAcentral.